RNAcentral lists this ribosomal RNA (613 nucleotides) under Uncinaria stenocephala. Its description in RNAcentral is "SSU rRNA". It matches the Rfam family "Eukaryotic small subunit ribosomal RNA", at positions 1013 to 1655 of the family's 1831-position model. Lineage: Eukaryota; Metazoa; Nematoda; Chromadorea; Rhabditida; Ancylostomatidae. The record is from RNAcentral.
UACCGCCCUAGUUCUGACCGUAAACUAUGCCAUCUAGCGAUCCGAUGGGGUAUUGUUGCCUUGUCGAGGAGCUUCCCGGAAACGAAAGUCUUUCGGUUCCUGGGGUAGUAUGGUUGCAAAGCUGAAACUUAAAGAAAUUGACGGAAUGGCACCACCAGGAGUGGAGCCUGCGGCUUAAUUUGACUCAACACGGGAAAACUCACCCGGCCCGGACACCGUAAGGAUUGACAGAUUGAAAGCUCUUUCUCGAUUUGGUGGUUGGUGGUGCAUGGCCGUUCUUAGUUGGUGGAGCGAUUUGUCUGGUUUAUUCCGAUAACGAGCGAGACUCUAGCCUGCUAAAUAGUGGCUGGAUUUUCACGUCCAGUCUACUUCUUAGAGGGAUAAGCGGUGUUUAGCCGCACGAGAUUGAGCGAUAACAGGUCUGUGAUGCCCUUAGAUGUCCGGGGCUGCACGCGCGCUACAAUGGAAGAAUCAGCUGGCCUAUCCAUUGCCGAAAGGCAUUGGUAAACCGUUGAAACUCUUCCGUGACCGGGAUAGGGAAUUGUAAUUAUUUCCCUUGAACGAGGAAUUCCUAGUAAGUGUGAGUCAUCAGCUCACGCUGAUUACGUCCCUG